Molecule: ribosomal RNA, 759 nt
Filed under: Sinumelon jimberlanense
Lineage: Eukaryota; Metazoa; Mollusca; Gastropoda; Stylommatophora; Camaenidae
Description: partial 16S ribosomal RNA
Rfam family: Archaeal large subunit ribosomal RNA (bases 343-494)
Source: RNAcentral
CACGAAACAAGAUGAGCUAACAAAUAGUCUUUUUUAGAGGGGAGCAUAUGUUGCAUAAUAUUUUAAAACUGCUUGUUAGGGGCGAUAUACUUUUCAAAUCUUGUGAUAACUUGAUGUUUUCAAAAUAUAUUAAGUAUUUAUUCAACUAUAAAGUGCUUAGAUUUUAUAGAUACACAAAGAACUUUAGCUAUUUUUUGUAUGGUUUAACAAUCAACAAGUUAAUAGAUUAUUAUACUAAUGGUUAAAUUGUUAUCUUUAAAAAACAGUAAAUAAUUAUAAAUAAUAUUUAAAAUGUUGUUAUAAGUAAUAAAUAGGUAUUCCAAAUGAACUCGGCAAAAUACUUUUCAACUGUUUAUCAAAAACAUAGCUAUUAGAAUUAAAUAAUAGUGAAUUCUGCUCAAUGAAUCUUAAAUAGCCGCAGUACACUGACUGUGCAAAGGUAGCAUAAUCAGUUGGCUUAUAAUUGAAGUCUUGUAUGAAUGAAUAAAUGGGGAGUAACUGUAUCAGAAUAGAAAAUGAAAUUGCUCAGUGAGUGCAAAUUCUUACAAAUACAUAAUAGACGAGAAGACCCUAGAAAUUUUAAAUAUCUGUACAUUUUUUUUUUUGUUGGGGCAACAGUGUAACAGACAAUUUACAUUAUAGUACAAGAAAUUUAUUUGAAAGAAUGAAAUUACUCUAGGGAUAACAGCGUAAUAUUCACAUGUUUGCGACCUCGAUGUUGGACUAGGAAGCGAAUACUUAGAAGGUUAGUUGCAACGC